UUGACCUCGAAUCAGGUAGGAAUACCCGCUGAACUUAAGCAUAUCAAUAAGCGGAGGAAAAGAAACCAACCGGGAUUACCU
Molecule: ribosomal RNA, 81 nt
Filed under: Erysiphe neolycopersici
Lineage: Eukaryota; Fungi; Ascomycota; Leotiomycetes; Helotiales; Erysiphaceae
Also listed under: 1 other name
Description: Oidium neolycopersici partial 28S ribosomal RNA
Rfam family: Eukaryotic large subunit ribosomal RNA
Source: RNAcentral